AUAUGCAAUGGUGUCCGAG
This 19-nucleotide unclassified non-coding RNA is filed under the name Mus musculus (house mouse). RNAcentral describes it as "oocyte_clustered_small_RNA1233". The record is from RNAcentral. Lineage: Eukaryota; Metazoa; Chordata; Mammalia; Rodentia; Muridae.